RNAcentral lists this non-coding RNA (237 nucleotides) under Rhizobacter sp. Root1221. The record is from RNAcentral. Lineage: Bacteria; Pseudomonadati; Pseudomonadota; Betaproteobacteria; Burkholderiales; Sphaerotilaceae. RNAcentral also lists the same sequence under 1 other name.
CUUACAAUCCCGCCUGUUGGUGCUCGUGCCGGUCCUCACGCCGGUGCAGUUAAACGGGAAGCAGAGGAAACCAGUCCAUCGGACCGGUGUCCCGCCUGCGCUGCCCCCGCAACGGUCAGCGGACGAUGUGGUUCACCCCAUGUCAACUCGUGUGCAUACACCACUGGGAGGUUCUCCUGGGAAGGUCGCACGGGUCGGUCCGCCAGCCCGGAUACCGGCCAACGAGGUGGGGUGUGC